This is an unclassified non-coding RNA of Pongo abelii (Sumatran orangutan), 148 nucleotides long. It matches the Rfam family "Metazoan signal recognition particle RNA". From Rfam's summary of the family: The signal recognition particle (SRP) is a universally conserved ribonucleoprotein. It is involved in the co-translational targeting of proteins to membranes. Lineage: Eukaryota; Metazoa; Chordata; Mammalia; Primates; Hominidae. The record is from Ensembl.
GCCAGGUGUGGUGGUGCACACCUGUAGUCCCAGCUACUCAGGAGGUUGAGGCAGGAGAAUCGCUUGAACCCAGGAGGCGGAGGUUGCAGUGAGCUGAGAUCACGCCACUGCACUCCCACCUGGGUGACAGAGAGAGACCCUGUCUCAA